AACUUUUGACAACGGAUCUCUUGGCUCUCGCAUCGAUGAAGAACACAGCGAAAUGUGAUAAGUAAUGUGAAUUGCAGAAUCCAGUGAAACAUCGAAUCUUUGAACGCAUCUUGCGCUCCUUGGCAUUCCGAGGAGCAUGCCUGUUUGAGUGUCAUUAAACUAUCAAAACACUUUUUCUCGAGGUGUUUUGGACUUUGGGAGCACUGUGCUGGUCUCUGUUUGAGCCAGCUCUCCUCAAAAGCAUUAACUUUGAGACCAUCAGUGUGAUAAUUUGUUUGCACUGGCUUCUCUUUUUUAACUGCCCCUUUGACCUCAAAUCAGGUAGGACUACCCGCUGAACUUAAGCAUAUCAAUAAGCGGAGGCU
This 365-nucleotide unclassified non-coding RNA is filed under the name uncultured Amanita. RNAcentral's name for it is "sequence contains ITS2". The stretch from base 1 to 154 matches the Rfam family "5.8S ribosomal RNA". The record is from RNAcentral. Lineage: Eukaryota; Fungi; Basidiomycota; Agaricomycetes; Agaricales; Amanitaceae.